AUUGAACGCUGGCGGCAGGCCUAACACAUGCAAGUCGAGCGGUAGAGAGGUGCUUGCAUCUCUUGAGAGCGGCGGACGGGUGAGUAAUGCCUAGGAAUCUGCCUAGUGGUGGGGGAUAACGUUCGGAAACGGACGCUAAUACCGCAUACGUCCUACGGGAGAAAGCGGGGGGAUCUUCGGACCUCGCGCCAUUAGAUGAGCCUAGGUCGGAUUAGCUAGUUGGUGAGGUAAUGGCUCACCAAGGCGACGAUCCGUAACUGGUCUGAGAGGAUGAUCAGUCACACUGGAACUGAGACACGGUCCAGACUCCUACGGGAGGCAGCAGUGGGGAAUAUUGGGACAAAUGGGCGAAAGCCUGAUCCAGCCAUGCCGCGUGUGUGAAGAAGGUCUUCGGAUUGUAAACUGCUUUUGUACGGAACGAAACGGUGAGCUCUAAUACAGUUUGCUAAUGACGGUACCGUAAGAUAAGCACCGGCUAAC
RNAcentral lists this ribosomal RNA (480 nucleotides) under uncultured bacterium. RNAcentral describes it as "bacterial SSU rRNA". It matches the Rfam family "Bacterial small subunit ribosomal RNA", at positions 30 to 501 of the family's 1533-position model. The record is from RNAcentral.